RNAcentral lists this long non-coding RNA (2684 nucleotides) under Gossypium barbadense (sea-island cotton). RNAcentral's name for it is "long non-coding RNA (GBAR_LNC008145)". Lineage: Eukaryota; Viridiplantae; Streptophyta; Magnoliopsida; Malvales; Malvaceae. The record is from RNAcentral.
GAGUUUUGGCAUCCUCCUUUCAUGCCCAUUCCAAUGCUUUUAGAAGAAACCUGCUCAGUACCUGCGUGAUUGCUAGAGAAAGAAACAUUAGUAAUAGAAUUAAAAAAUGGGACUUCCUUACUUUUCUCAUUAGCUGCCAAUUCAAUAGGCCUUUUGCCCAUAUAUUUAUCCAACCCAACAUUUGAAUUUCGUCCCAACUCUAUAGAUUUCAAGCUAUCAGACACCAAAUUCUUAGUAGGCCCUAACCGAAUUCCUUGGCCCAAUUCGCUCCCACGCCCAGCUCCAAUAUUAGACCCAUUACCCUUUUUGAUCCCAACAGUAUCCCUAGUCUUAAAAUUCCCAACACCGACAGUCCCUUUUCCUCUCAGAUUUUCCUGCAAAAAACCUCCAUUAAUCACCCCCAAAUUACUCCUCAAAUCUCCCUCCUAAUUAAGCGCCAAAUAUCUAGAACCCAAAGGAAAGUUUCCAGAUUUUUCAACGGCAUUAGACUGAGGGCCGCGUUGGCCACGCCGUGCCUUGCAUUCAACCAGCAUCCACGGCCCGAAUUCGGGCCUCUUAUCUCCAUCGGAUCUACCAUCGGCGCCUUCUUGUGCCUCCAUCUCCGCGUUCGCCGUUUGCUCCUGUGAUUGAACCACCUUGACAAUCGGGCAGAGCUCCUUGACAUGGCCGUAUUUACCACAUGAGAAACACACUGUCGGCAGGGCCUCAUAUUCAACGUUUUGGACAGAGCCAUCUACCCACACCUCUGAAAUCAACGGUUUUUCAAGGUUAAUAAAAACAGCCAAACGAGCGAACUGACCUCUAGUUCCAUUAUCGGUUUGAAAAUCUAGCUUAACUACUUUCCCAAUGAGUCCUCCAAUUGCUUCUAUGAUUUUUCGAUUAUACAGGUACCCUGGAAGUCCUGGCAGUAAGAUCCACGCUAAUACCACACUGGGGUAUGGCUGCUGAAGGUUGAAAUCCUUUGUCCACGGUUGGAUGGUAAGGUAUUGUCCGUAGAUAAUCCAAGGACCCUAUGUUAAGACAUUGUUAUAGUCUCCUAUAUUCUGAAACUUAAUCAGAAAAUACCCAUUGACAGUAUCCAUAAGGUGAAAAGGUUUAGCAGGUUUCCAAAGGCUAAGUAUACGAUUAUGUAAUGCGUUAUAGCCUACAUUACGCCCUAAGAGUUUGAGAACGAUCGUCAAUUCCAUUUCUUUGAAAAGAAUGUUUCUAAUACGAUCCGAGAAGGCAAUAGUAGGCAUCCCGUCUACCAUGGUAGUAUUCAUAUCUCCAUCAAGUAGAUCAAAAUCAUUAUCAGGUCCCUCGUUUAAACCAUUUCGAUCAGAUGCGGAGUACGAAGCUUCACCCAAAAGCAUGUCCUUCCACGAUAAUUUUGGAAACGGAACUGAAUCGGCAGCCAUCGAAACAGAUUCCUCAUCCGUUCCCUCUAUAAAUCUCACUUUUUUUGUGUUCCGAUUCCCACCUAAGCAAAGAACUCCAUCGCCGUUGAGACCAGAUUCAUCCAUCCCUCCAAAUAUAUUUCUUUCAGUUUGAGAUAUAUGGCGGCUUUGUAUUCUUACUAAUUUAAUCCUUGAAUGAUUAAACAUACACCAUGCAAGAACUAUGUCAAUUAAUUAAAAUCUUGUUCAGAUUAAUUAAUUAAUUCAGUUGUUUUCCUUCAUUCAUAAUGCAUGAGAAACAUAUUCAUGAUUUUACUUGCAUGAGUAAAUAGAUCAAAGGCACAAAACAUAUUUAGCAUAAUUAAAUAAUUAAAACAAUGAAAAUUAAAUCAUUCUAAAACCAACAAAAUUAAGCAAUCAUGAUUAUAUUAAAAACAGAAAACUUAAUUUCAAUCAUGUUUCUUGAAUUGAAAAAAAAAAUAAAGAUUGAAGGGAAAGAGAAUUACUAAGCCAUUUCUGGUGGAUCUCCGUGGCAAAGCUUACUUUACUCCUCCGUUGUUUUAUUCUUCUUGUCAUGACUGCUAAGCUUAAAAGCUCUCAAUAUUGCCUACAGUGGCUACUCUCAAAACCUUGCAAAUACUCUCUCAAAUGGAAGUGAAACAAGAGAGAAUGAGAGAAGAGAUGGUGAGUGAGGGAUGAGUGAAAUGGAGAACAAAUGUCUCUUUAUUUAUACUAGUGAGGAGCUCAUUGAGUUUGAUAUUUUUAGCAUGAUAAUCCUUUAUUUUUUCUCUCAUGCACGGUUAACCCUUGUGAAAUAGAGAGCGAAUGCCUCUCUAUUUGACUAGUGAGGAGCCCUUUGAGUUUGCUAAUUUUAGCAUGAUAAUCCGCAUUUUUUCUCUCAUUCAUGGUUGACCCCUUGUGUUAAGGAAGGAAUGAGAAGAAGUUGAAGGGUCACAUGGCAAAAUUGUUGUGGCGGAUUAGUGACAUUUUACCAAGUCUUUGGUUUCUAAUUAAAAUUUUUUUAUGUACGGUUGGACUUCCCAUAGCCGAAUUGGGCUCUUUACUCAUUAGUGGAUGGUUUGGGCUUUAAAUUUGGCAGCAGGCUUCUCCACUUCAGUGGUCCAAUUGCAAGCUGGGUCAAAAUUAAUCUGAGAGUCCAACAGAUGAAUUUAGGACGUCCAUGUUGUUCAACCAUCAACCCACAUGUGCUUGGCCUCUGCUACAGGAAUGCUACAACAUCGAGUAUCGAAUAGGUAAGCUUCAAGACUAUCUUUUUUUCUAUUGCACGAAACUGCAUCAAAUCGACAA